CAAAAUUGUGCAAGCAACCCACUAGCUAGUUUUAUUGAAUAUUAAAAUAACAUAGUUGAUUUCUAAAACAUACAAAAAUUAUUAUCUCAUCAACGCAUAAUUAUUUUGAGAACCAUAAGGUUGAGAUUUAUCCACCCAAAAACUAUUGUGUUGUUGUUGCUGGUGUGCAAUUAAUCUUGCAGGGACAGUUGAUGAAGCAUUCUCCAAGAUCUGGCCAGCACAAGUUAUCUAUUUGACAGCAGAAUUCCCGUCCUGGGAGCUGGUGCCCAUCUUUAUAACAAGGGGGUCUAGUUACAUGGCUUACUUUGCUCAUCAUGUUUCUCCCCUUGUUGUUUAUGAUUUCACCUAAUUAACAUAAAAUAAAGAAUAUACUUAUCAUCUCAUCAUAUAAACAAUAAAAGUCCACAAUAUCAAUACCACCAAAAAAUCGAGUUGUUAAUUACCAUAUGUGCCUCCAAGACAAGUCAAACACACCACAAGAAGAAAAGAAAGUAGCACAAGUCCUUGCACAUUGUUCCUCGUGAACUUGGUCAUCGUCACUAAGGAAUAGAGGCUAUUAAUGGGUGGUACUCUUUUAAGUGGAGUUGAUGAGUGUAUGACCGUGAAAUGCUUGCUCCAUGAAUGGUUCAUAUAUAUAUAUAGGAAAAGCUUCUCCGUGUUGAUGUGUGAAGUUAUAGAAAAUAUUAAUGCUUGGAGUUAUGGCUUGUGUGAAUUUCCAAUUUUAGUUUCACUUCUAAAGAUUCAUGGUUCCUUCUAGAGUAUUUUUCUCAAAUUUAUGCUUUGUCAUAGCAUGUAAGUUACUUUAAUGCCCCCUCUAGAAUUGAUCGCUCAUUGUUUUCAAGGGGUAGAAUUGACCUCUUAGAAUGGGUAGUAAAAAACUGGUGCAUGGCAAUAUUAUGUUUAAGGCAUUGAUAAUAAUUGGUAUAAUAUCAAUAAUUCCUAUAUAUAUGAUGCCUUAUCAAUAAAACUAUUAAUUUCUGUCUUGGUAUAAGAGAACAAGACUCAUCCACUUAACAUUGGACUUGUUUUUUAAUGUAUGUAAGCAAUUGUUCUUAAGUAUAUCAACAAGUUACAGAUACAUUUUUUUUACUUUUAUUCCAUGAACAUAGAUUAAUUAUGGGAUGGCCAUUUUCUAAAUAUAAGAUGAUGAUUUAUUUUCAUAUACAUGAACAUUUUAUAUCAAGGUACUUGAGCAUUUUUUACAUUUUUCUAUACACAAAAUUUUCUCCAAUAUUAAGUCGAUUUUUUUAAAUAGAUUAGUUUCCCCAAAACUUUCUUUAUUAGAAUUGUGAAAAUGUCGCACUUGCCCAGCUAGGGAAAAUUUCGUUAGGCAGAGCUGCCCAACUCUCGGAACUCCCUAUAAGUUCCUCCUUGCCGCUACCAACCUUCCCUUCAGACAGCGCAUGCCUGGCUGGUCCGACCCAUUGACGACACGAAUGGACACCACCGAGUGGGAGAGUAGGCGUUGAGCCAAUCCACUUUAGCAACAAUUUUUUCAUUUUUGGAAAAUAUCUUUGCAAAUUGAACAAGCAUUGAUAAAUGCGAAGUUUUUUUUGAACAUAUUCUAAAAUUUAAAAUUUCUUAAAACCCCAAUUAUGUUUGGAAUUUCAUACAUUCUUCUGAAAAAAUGAACACUUUUGGAAAUACUUAACAUUAUUUGAAAACUAAGACCUUUUCUUGGAGAAACAACAAUUUUAUGAAAAACGUGUUAGUUUUAUAAUUUGUAGAAUGUUUUUCAAAGUUAUGAUUUUUAAGAACACAAACAAUUUUUUAAAUUUCGAACAAAAUAUGAGAAUCGGAACAUUUCCCGAAAACUUGAAUAUUUUCUAAAUUUCAAAUUUCCACACAUUUUAAAAAAAGGAGUCUUUUUGAUAAAGAUAAUAAGAAAAAUAAAACAAUGAAAAAACAAAUAAGAAAAACUGUAACAUCCUAAUUUUCAAUUUGGAUGUUAUAAAUAGAUCAGCAGAUGCAUAUCAUAUUUAUUCUUUCUUUUGGUUGAGAUCCUAGAGAUCUUAAGCAACUCAAGGACCCAAGGAGAGAGUUGGAGGUUUCACAAAAUUCAUAUUUGAAUUUAUUUCAAAUUUGAGGGAAGGAUCAAUUUGAUUUUAUUAUUUUUCUCUCUAAUUUUUUCCAAUAAUAAAAAUACAUGCGAGAAGAUAAUAUGACUUCUUCAACCUAAGAUAAAUAUUGGAGAAAGAGUUUUAAAAUCAACUUAUGAUUUUAUUAGAAUUUUAUUUGGAUUAGAAAAAUAUUGCAUUUUUUAAAAUUGCAUCUUAGUCCAGAAAAAUGUUUAUCUUGUCCUAAAUAUUAGGUUUGGACGGUGAGAAUCAUUUCUGGAAUUUUUAGAUUUUUCUUUAUAAUUUAUAAGGAUUUUUCUUUCGGGCAAAAUUUAUUUCUAAAAAAAAGUUAUUUCCGCCCGAAUGUGCCGAAGGCCUAGCCGAGCCGGCCCAGAAGCAGCGCCGCCGCCAUCCCCGCGCGGUAGUCCGCCCUGCUGCCGCCAGCGUGCCGCUGGCCAAGUUCUAGGCGGGCACGCCUCCCGAGGCCGCCCCCUUCCCCAAGACGAGGUCGAGCCCCUUCCUUAAAUAGCGCGUCGCCCCGCCACCUCUCCUCCACACCGCCGCCGCCUCCCACCACCAGCAGCAGCAAUAGCCCCGCGCCGCCGCUGCUGCGCCGCUUUCCGCCGCCUGUGACGCCCCCGAUUCAAUCGUACACUAAUCAUACAUGUAAAUAUGUACGAUCAAGAUCAGGGACUCACGGGAAGAUAUCACAACACAACUCUAAAAAUAAAAUAAGUCAUACAAGCAUCAUAAUACAAGCCAGGGGCCUCGAGUGCUCGAAUACAAGUGCUCGAUCAUAGACGAGUCAGCGGAAGCAACAAUAUCUGAGUACAGACAUAAGUUAAACAAGCUUGCCUUAAGAAGGCUAGCACAAACUGGGAUACAGAUCAAAAGAGGCGCAGGCCUCCUACCUGGGAUCCUCCUAAACUAAUCCUGGUCGUCGUCAGCGGCCUGCACACAGUAGUAGGCACCUCCAGUGUAGUAGGAGUUGUCGUCGGUGGCGUAUGGCUCUUGGGAUCCAACGUCUUGUUGCGGCAUCCGAGAAGAAGAGGAAAAUGGGGGAAAAGAGGGAGCAAAGCAACCGUGAUUACUCAUCCAAAGUACUCGCAAGCAAGGAGCUACACUACAUAUGCAUGGGUAUAUGUGUAAGGAGGCAAUAUCAGUGGAAUGAAUUGCAGAAUGCCAGAAUAAAAGGGGGAUAGCUAGUCCUAUCGAAGACUACGCUUCUGGCAGCCUCCGCCUUGCAGCAUGUAGAAGAGAGUAGAUUGAAGUCCUCCAAGUAGCAUCGCAUAGCAUAAUCCUACCCGGCGAUCCUCCCCUCAUUGCCCUAUGGGAAAGCGAUCACCGGGAUGUCUCUGGAACUUGUAUGGAUGUGUUUUAUUAAGUAUCCGAUUCUAGUUGUCAUAAGGUCAAGGUACAACUCCAAGUCGUCCUGUUACCAAAGAUCACGGCUAUUCGAAUAGAUUAACUUCCCUGCAGGGGUGCACCACAUUUCCCAACACGCUUGAUACCCUUCGGCCGGACACACUUUCCUGGGUCAUGCCCGGCCUAGGAAGAUCAACACGUCGUAGCCCCACCUAGGCACAACAGAGAGGUCAGCACGCCAGUCUAACUCCUAUGGCACAGGGGUUUGGGCCCAUCGCCCAUUGCACACCUGCACGUUACGAGGGCGGCCGGAAGUAGACUAGCCCCCUUAAUACAAGUGCAGGCUUACGGUCCAAUCCGGCGCGCGCCGAUCAGUCGCUGACGUCAAGAAGGCUUCGGCUGAUACCACAACGUCGAGUGCCCAUAACUGUUCCCGCGUAGUUGGUUAGUGCAUAUAGGCCAGUGGCCAGACUCAGAUAAAAUACCAAGAUCUCGUUAAGCAUGUUAUUAUGAAGUAACCCCGAAGGCCGACUUGGGCCAGGCCCACCUCUCUCCUAGGUGGCCUCAAACUGCCCUGUCGCUCCACCACAAAGAUCCACACACAGGGCCGUCGGGAAAGUAUGCCCUUUCAUCCCCCAAUUCAUGAAUCAACCGCGGGUACUCAACGAGCCGACACGACUUUAGUCACCAUCUGUAUAGCAUGUAUAUAUGUAUAGUAUAAACCCGUGAUCACCUCCCGAGUGACCACGGCCUGAUAGUAUAGCAAGGCAGACUGACAAGAAUGUAGGGCCACAGAUGAUAAACUAGCAUCCUAUACUAAGUAUUUAGGAUUGCAAGUAAGGUAUCAACAGAUGUAGCAACAAUGACAGGCUAUGCAUCAGAAUAGGAUUAACGGAAAGCAGAAACAGGCUACACUACUCUAAUGCAAGCAGUAUAGAGGAGAGUAUGCGAUAUCUGGUGAUCAAGGGGGGGGGGCUUGCCUGGUUGCUCUGGCAAGAAGGAGGGGUCGUCAACUCCGUAGUCGUACUGGGUGCUAGUGUAAGAAACAAUUAAUAUAGUGCAAACAUAAGCAUGACGAUAUAAGACAUGAAAAUGAGCGGUGCUAGGUGUGGCCUAACGAGGUAGUAGGCGAUACCGGCUAAAGGGGGAAACAUCCGGGAAAGUAUCGUCGGUGUUUCGCGUUUUCGGACAGAUGAACCGGAGGUGAAAUGUUGCAGGUUUGCUAUGCUAGGGAUGCGUGGUGGACUAACGAGAUGUGUAUUCGGAUUUGUCUUGUUGUUCUGAGCAACUUUCGUAUACAAAGUUUUUCCAUCCGAGUUACGGAUUAUUUAAUAUUAUUUUUUAAAGAUUUAAAUCAAUUUAUAAAUUAUUAGUAUUAAUUAAAUUCGAAAAUGGCAUUACUGCAUCGGCAUGACGUCAGCAUGACAUCAUUAGUCAACAGAGGUGUUGACUAGGUCAAGCUGACGUGUGGGUCCCAUCUGCCAUUGACACAUUGCCCUAACUAACAAACUAGUUAGUUUAAUUAAAUAUUUAGGUUAAUUAAGUUUAGUUAUUUUAACUAAACAUGAUAAAUUAAGUUAACUAAUUAGUUAAUUAAUUAAUUAACCAAUUUUAUUAUUAUUAUUUUAUCUUAUUAUUAUUAUUUUUUAAACGUUCUGGGGGUGGGGCCCCCUUAUCAUAGGCCCCCGGGGACCUAGUGGAGUGCGUUAACGGGCGCCGGGGCAUUGCGGGCGUGCGCCCGAGUCCACCAUGGAAGGGGACUCCGGACAGGGGAGGGGGCGCCGCCGUGGCGGCUGGCGCCGGCUGUGGCGGAGCGGUGUGGGACCGAUGGGGCAUAGGCGAUGCACGCGACGGCGCGCGCGAGCUGCAGCGGUGGAGGUGGUGGCGGGGUCGCGCGGGCGGAGCAAAGUCGCGACAGCCAGAGCGGAGUAGUGCAGCGAGCAGCACUGCUCGUGGCGUCGCGCGGGCAUAGUAAGCACGGGAGGCGGGCCGACGCAGGACCAGGCAUAGCAGCGGCGGCGCAGGGCGCGGCCAGCGCCCGUUGCGCGCGUGCUUCAAUGCGGGUAGGCACAGCCACGGCGGCGUGAGCCACGGCGGGAAGAAGGAACACGGGAGGGGGCGCAGUAGCAGCAGGCGAGAGGGGCACGCACGGGGCGACGAUGGGAUGCGACAGCGAGCGCGGUGGGGCGGUGCGCGUGCGUGAGUGCACGAUGGACGAGCGGCCGGAGCGAACAACGAGUGCGGGGAGAGGAGGAGAGGUUGGGGGCCUCAGGCAGCAGGGGUGGGGAGGACGACGGGGACAACGUGCGGCGGGGCGACGAGGUCCGGUGGCAGGAUGGACGUUGGCGAUGGCGUCCGACGAGGUGGUGGCGCGGUGGCUACGGUGACUGUGCCGGGGCGCCGUGGGCGCCCAGAUCCAGAACGGGGAGGAGGAGGUCGAGGACGGGGCGUCAGGGCAUCGAGCGACACCGGCAAGGGGCGACGGAGUCAGGGACGAUGGGGUCGGGGCGGUUUGCCCCGAUCCAGAAACCGGGAGGGGAGUGGGGGAGCGAGCGAGUGUGGGGUGAGUGGAAUCCUGGUAUCUAGGGUUUUGGGCGAUAGGAGGAUAUGGAGAGUGGGGUGGGCCGGUCUGGCGAGGGUGGGAGUUGGGCCGGGUGACCCAGUUGGCCUGGGGCUUUCCCCCUCUUUUUACUUUAUUAAUUUUUUGUUUAGUCUCCUUUUUUUUAUUCUUUUCCAUUUUCUAUUUUAUUUAUUUUAGAGCAUCAUAGCAUUUUCUAAAUAUGGGUUUUCUUCACUAUAAUUACCUAUGUAAUAUUUGGCACAAUCCGGACAUUUUAGUUUAAUUGUUUGAAAACCUUUUUGUUUGCCUGAUUUUAAAUUUGAAUUUGAAUCGGUUUUGAACUAACGCGAGAUUAGUAAUAGUAAUCAAGGUGACGUGGCAUCAUUAGCAGAGGUUCAAUGUAGCUUAAGUAUCCGGGUGUCACAAUUCUCCUCCACCACAAGAAAUCUCGUCCCGGGAUUUAAGCGGUGUAUUAAGGGGGGAGGUGCUGGUAGUGAAAAAGCUAACGAGUCUUCUCGGUCUUGGCUGCCCUUUCGAAGAGGUUGAUCCCUUUCGUUGAUGUCUUCAUUUCUCUGCUUCAAGUCACCAUGACCAAGUCGUCAUCCUUUCUUCGGGAUCUCCAUCAUCCUACGAACGCGACCAAGGGGAAAACUCUUGAAGAACGCAUCUCCGCAAAGUUGGGCAUCUGGCGGUGAACUCAAUGGGAAAUACACAAGGUACCCCACGAGUUGUAUUUCAGUGAAUUCAUUGAGUGCAAUAUACGAUGGUACCAAAGUUUCAAACGGGUAGGCAAUCAUUCGAUGACUAGACAGAAGCUGGAAUGGGGGUUUGAACAAUGAGAAUAACAUGGCAUUUGAUUCCAAGAGGAAUAAUGGUAUAGCAUUUAGCUCGUGAAUCACAUACGAAGCCAGGUGCAAAGGAUACAUUAGAAUCCGGGUUGUAAAGAAGAGUCAGGUUUCGAUCCAGUGGACCUGUGGGUUAUGGGCCCACCAUGUGGGUUGACAGUAGGAAGGGUGGUGACAUCUUGCACAGCCGCAACAGGGAGGCAUGUCAGGGCAACAAUUGUCAGUAACAAGGACGGGGAACGAAGAGAGCAAUUUUCCUGCUUGUUGAACAGGUGAACCAAUUGGCAAAGUUAUCACCCAUCGGUGGUUACCGGAAUGUCAUCAACAAUAGUAACAUGGUCUUACAAACAGAGUGGUACAACAAGUUGCCUACCUAAGCAGGGAAUUAUCUCUGCUCAGUUAAGUCAGAUUUAGGAAAGGUUAAACAAAAGAAUGGAAAGGAAAACGCGAUUAUCAGAUUAAACAGAACAAUGGAAAGGAAAAUUGUGAUUACACACAAUUAUUAGGAGUAUGUCCUUCCCAUGUACAAGCAGAACAUGGAAUACAGGAUAGGAGAGCAAGUACCCAACCAUUCAGAUAAGGGGCAAGGAUUAAUCAAGAUGUUACCCAUACAACAUCGUUUGGAUAACUGACCAAGAAACAUUUAGCAUCGCGCCUUCAAUGUUCUUGUUGAUGAGCGGGGUAUCAUAGUCAUGCUUCGAGGUAGCAAUGAUAUGGGGUUCCAAUCAAGGCCAGACUUUGGAUACACAAAUGAUCCAUCAGGAGCAACUUAUAAAAUAAGUCCUACAAUUUCCUCCAGGAAGAAUGGUUAUCCUUGCAAAAGAAAUUAUAAUGAUAGGUCCUCCAGCCAGGGGUGCUAGGCAUGACAUCAUAUUACCUGGUCAUCAAAGGACCAACAUCAUAACUCCUGGAAAGUUGUCCUAACCAUAAUAUCUGACCGAGAUUCCGAUCCGAUUGGUGUCAUGAUACCUCAGACUCAGGAUGUCCGAGAAGAAAAGGCGCGACACAAAUUGAUGAAAUGACAUUGCAAGAUUCUCAGGAAAUGAACUAUGGGAGUGGGUUCCUGAAACAAUAGUUCAUCAUUAAACCAAGGAGGGGAUGAGGAGAUUGCUGAUGGGCUCAGCGACAAUUCAACGAGAAUUCCAAACAGAUGGAUUUCCACACUUAUGUGAACAAGAAGAUGAUACUUGUUAAUUCAAAUGAUAUAAUGUUGUAUGCUCGAGGAAAACAUACACCAUCAAGCAAUAGUUGUAAGGUGUGCCCGAAGUAUGACCUUAGGCAGCAGGAUCAAUGUUAGAGUGAUGAUUCAAUGACCAACAGUCUAAGAAUGAACUGUUGAUCAUUAACUUCAACGCAAUAGGGUUGCUAGAAGUACAGAACUCAAGCAGGAUCGUUGGCAUAUCGGUAUCCCGGUUAAAAACAACACGGGGACCAAGGAAGAAUGGUGAUGGUGGGAAGUAUUAUCAUACCGAGAAUUUCUAAGAGGUGGAGCAAUCCACACAACAUCCUCGACAGAAAAGACAGUAAUACUUCAAGGAAGAACACAACACUAGCUGGACAGCAAGUUGUAUUCAUAAUAUGGGCAAGUUCGCGAUGAAAGGAAGACAAGGGUUUUGUCGAUGAUAAUAAAAAUCAUCGAGGGCAAGGAGGGAAUUUCUCAUCAUGAACACAGUUGGCAUCUCAGAAGAAGUCAAAGUGUUGAAGGUGACCCGACACAUUUGCCGGGAGAUUUCAAGAGGAUGAAAUCAAACAACAACGGCAACAAGCGAGGGAAUGACGAAGUGGCAAGUUAUAGGAUCAAUAUAUAAGAUGCAAGCUCGGGACCAAAUUGCCUUUCAAGACAAGCAACAUGAUGUUGAAAGCUCGACGUAAGUCAUGCUCACACACUGAAGAUUCGUGCACCAGAGAAUGACGAGGUAGCACCGUCAAAGGUAGCAAGACCUGGAUGCAACCGAUAGUCUAGGAAUGACCAGAUUUAGUUCAGAAUUUCCUAGUAAAAAUACUAGGGGUAUUUGAUUUGUAGUGCGGAAUAAAUUCACUAGUCGGUGUCCUCGGUUGACAACAACCCAGAACCCGUAGAGUGAUUACGGCAAGGAAAGACAUUACUUCAACAAAGUUAGUAAGAUGUGGUGCAAUGGCAAGACAUCUCCGAGAUACCAGGGGCUAAUACUCGAAGGUAGAACAAGAUAGAAGUAGAACCGGGUCAUUGACCUAUGACAUUAGAUACUUCAACCUUGCCAAAAAUAGACGAGGGACUGGAAUGAAUUCCCAUCAGAUAUAUCAUAUCAGGACAACAUGGUCGGAACCAUAACUAUAAGGAAUCAAUUUCAAGAAUACCGAAAGAAUCAUACAGCUGGAUAAUCAUUUUGCAAGAAGCUUCUCAGAUGGUCUACAUCAUUUUCAUGGGCAUGAACACAAAGUUCAAGGUCGACUCCCACUUCUUUAAUGCAUAUCAUCUCAUUCACCUUUUGCUUUGAUAUAACAGUAGUGUUGAAAGUUUAUCUGGUUGAAAACCGGAAGAGUGUGACUUGUGAAAACUUUCGGGUUCUCACGAAUUAGGGGAAGGCAUAGGUUCAACCCAUCGGGCAACUUAGUAACCUAUACCACAAGUUUCAAAAGUAAAUACACAAGCUCGAAAGCAGAGCAUGGUUGUCCAGGUAGAGGAUACAAUUUACCAAAGGCACUAUGUAUCAGGGAAAGAACUCACAUGGUGAUUUAAUAUGAAGGACACUGUCGGAUAACAAUCCAACAAUGGAUAGGGCGAUCCACAACGGAGCUGAUGUGAGUAUCGGUACUCACUCGGAGGAAGAAAGAAUGCAGAGGCAUCAGAUUCAAGAAUCACCUGAUUAGUCUGAUGCUUAAAUAGAAAGAAAUUAUGGUUUCCAAAAUGAAGGAUCAGAAGCAGAUGCUCUGAUCAAGGAUGGAUAAGUUGAAAACACCUAGUUGGACAAUCAAUAAAGGUUUGAAUUGCCGAGAACCAACUCAUGUCUGGAAUGACGUCUGAGCCGGAAAGAGAAUCUUAAAAAGGAUAACAUGAUGACUGCGUGUGUACGCACACAUUGAAUCAAUAGGCUCAAAAUGACUAAGACAAGGGAUGUUAACGAGGACUACUAGUCAUAUGGAAUUAUCCAUAAUGCAAGCAGGCAAGCGUUUCAAGAGUAACAGGCUGCAGAGGAUUUUUGAAAGAUCGAAAAGUAUUCCAAAGAAUCAUGUGAGACACAUGAACAAUUGAGAAGAAUGGAUCCUUGAUAAAUGUGAGGAAAAACCCGUAAGGGUUUUCACGCGAAAUAAAACUGCAAGACAGUAAACUCAAAGGUUUUUUGGGACAACGACGAAUAUUUCGAGGCAUCAUGUAACAACAAGAGCGGCGAGGAAUGAUCAACAGAAUGACAAGUGCAUACAGAUAUCCAUAGGGAUAUAUCGGUGAUAAUGGAUUGCAACGGUGAUGAGCACAAGGGUCUCGGGAAAAUAUCAAGGGAUAUCUUCAGAAUCUUCUGAUGCAAUAAGCAAUCAUCUGGAGUGAGGGAUCUCUAGGAGAAGUAGUUACGAGAACCUAGAGUCGGCGUUAAUAAAAUCAUUUAACCCGAAUAGAGGAGAGAUCAGUGUCCCAGAGUAAAGGUCGAGGAGUAAAAGAUCCUAAUACCACCCAAUGGCGACGUGGGCCCGUGAGCCACACAGCUAAGGUAGUAAAACAGUUUUCGGCUUCUAGACUCAACUUCGGCCAAGGAGUUGGAAAGGGGAUUCCUACAGGCAGUCGGCUCUGAUACCAACUUGUGCCGCCGCCGAUUCAAUCGUACACUAAUCGUACACGCAAAUGUGUACGAUCAAGAUCAAGGACUCACGGGAAGAUAUCACAACACAACUCUAAAAAUAAAAUAAGUCAUACAAGCAUCAUAAUACAAGCCAGGGGCCUCGAGGGCUCGAAUACAAGUGCUUGAUCAUAGACGAGUCAGCGGAAGGAACAAUAUCUGAGUACAGACAUAAGUUAAACAAGCUUGCCUUAAGAAGGCUAGCACAAACUGGGAUACGAAUCGAAAGUGGCGCAUGCCUCCUUCCUGGGAUCCUCCUAAACUACUCCUGGUCGUCGUCAGCGGCCUGCACGCAAUAGUAGGCACCUCCAGUGUUGUAGGAGUCAUCAUCGCCGAUGUCGUCUGGCUCCUGGGAUCCAACAUCUGGUUGCGGCAUCCGAGAAGAAGAGGAAAACGGGGGAAAAGAGGGAGCAAAGCAACCAUGAGUACUCAUCCAAAGUACUCGCAAGAAAGGAGCUACACUACAUAUGCAUGGGUAUAUGUGUAAGGAGGCAAUAUCAGUGAACUGAACUGCAGAAUGCCAGAAUAAGAUGGGGAUAGCUAGUCCUAUCAAAGACUACGCUUCUGGCAGCCUCCGUCUUGCAUCAUCUAGAAGGGAGUAGAUUGAAGUAUCAUCGCAUAGCCUAAUCCUACCCGGCGAUCCUCCCCUCGUCGCCCUAUGGGAAAGCGAUCACCGGAAUGUCUGUGGAACUUGUCUGGAUGUGUUUUAUUGAGUAUCCGGUUCUAGUUGUCAUAAGGUCAAGGUACAACUCCCAGUCGUCCUAUUGAAGAUCACGUCUAUUCAAAUAGAUUAACUUCCCUGCAGGGGUGCACCACAUUUCCCAACACGCUUGAUCCCCUUUGGCCGGACACACUUUCCUGGGUCAUGCCCGGCCUCGGAAGAUCAACACGUCGCAGCCCCACCAAGGCACAACAAAGAGGUCAACACGCCGGUCUAACUCCUAUGGCGCAGGGGUCAGCACGCCCUGCCUGUUCCGUUCACCACCCCUAGUGACCAGUGUUUAGCCCCAACGUCUGUCCCACUAGGUCCCAGCCCCAUUUCAUUGGUUAAUUUUAUGUAUAAUAGUGUGAUAAGAUAGUGAGGUGUAUGCAUAUCUAUAACCGUAUAUCAUACUUCUGAUUGUAGUGUAAGACAGAGAGGUGUAAUCUUGCCUUUUUACUUCAGAGAGAUAAUUCGAUCACUUUAAGUUGUUGCAUGCUGUCAUAUGCACUAUGCUUAUGUUAUUUGCUACUAAACCAAUAGUGGAAUAUAGUUUUAUGUUUCAUGUAUUGUUUGGUGGCUUCUCAAUUUGUGCAUGAAAACAAACAUUGCUUCCGAGUGACUCUUCAUUAGGCUCUUGUUUUAUUCAUGGGUGAUGGAACAAUGAAUGCAAAGAUAAGCUUCCUUUGAUUUGGUUGCUCGGUUGACAAGAAUAUGCAUUCCUUUGUAUACCACCUUACCUCUCCUGUGAUGCUUUCUACAUUGUAGAUUCCCUGUAUUAGAUAAGGGCCAGUACUAGGGUUGAUGAUUUAGUACAGAAAUCAUUGCAUUCCAUAUAUCUCACAGUUUAUUUGUAUCAGAUUCAUGUGAGGCGGUCCCUAUGAAGUACAUGGACGAGACAGAUGGAUUACGCCAUCUAUUAGUAUGCUUAGUGAUUCUGUAGUUGGCUCUUUUUAUUAUGUUCAUGUUCUUAUUAACUCCUCUUAUGUGUUCUCGCAAUUGGUAUCGAACUUCAUGUCGAAUGGCUAUCUUUUGUGGUCGUAUGAACGGGUCGAGCUUGAUCCUGCCUUAUAAAUUGAUGUUGUCUUGUGCUCCAUUACGUUUUACUUUUAUCACAAUUGAAUGUUUCUUUAUUUUAUUAUUAUCCUGUAUAAGUGCAAAUGCUAUAUCUGGGUUCCUACUGACAUGGUGUUACAUGCUUUGGCAAAGUGCUUGGACCGGCACCCUCGCGCCAGGGCGCGAUCCUGAUCUAGUGUAUCAUGUAGCAAGCCAUGAGCCGAGGGUUGCUACAUGAUCAAUUGCUGACUAGGCAGUGUGUUUUCUUCAUUUUGGGCAGAUCACAAGUGUUUGACACCUCUCUCUACAUUGGGUAUCCUUUUCCACUUGAAUUUUAAAAUGCGCAGAAUGUGCUUUCCUUGUUGUUGCCUCGUCAUUCCAGCAUGGAAUCAAAGCAAAACUGAUAUUACUACCUUUAAAAAUUCUCUCACUGUCUAUGUCCAUAACAUGCCCAUUGGACUGCACGGCAGAAGUGAAGGUGUGUGCCUAGCUGGCGGAGCAGACGCACUCAUGUGACCUCUGAUCUAAGAACGACUUGUACUCUGUUGUGAGCCCAUGGUGCGUGUGGGUUGGAACGCUGCUUAGGAAAUCUAGACUUAUUUUGCAGGCAAGCCAAGAUGAGAUCUGUAGCCCAUGUGAUUUCCAUCAAAAUCACGGCCAGUUCAACUCUGGUUCGAAUCCAAAUAAAAAAAUAGACCAGCAGUCCUAGAUGGAUAUGUCCAUCGCUAAAAAACGCAGUUGUUGAAAGAGUCAAUAUGACUUGUAGCUAGAGUACGCCAACACCCCUCACUUCUUCUACAUGCACUAAACAAACCCUAGCUUAUCCGACUCAAUUUGCUUUAAGGUUUAUGUGUGAAAGAAGUCGUGUUAAAACAGAACACCACACUCUUCAACCUGAGAAAUCAAUAGUCAAUUUACCUAUGGAUAUUAAAUCUAUAUACAUCGUACUUGAUGUGUGAAGUUGAUAAUACUUAUUAAUAAUAUUUUAAAUUACAAUAUUUGGUGCUUCACAGCCUGUGAUGAAAUUAUUGUUCACCCAUCCAAUGCAGUAAAAAGUACGUGCGAGAGAGAGAGAGAGAGAGAGAGAGAGAGAUUAAAGUACAUUUUGUUCUGAUGUCCACCAUAGUUCCACGAUCAGUACACCUAGGAGGAGACAAUCAAAAUAUGGACAGAACAUAAAUAUUUAAUAUGUAAAUGGUAGGUAACAAAUCCAACUACAAAAUUGUGCAAGCAACCCACUAGCUAGUUUUAUUGAAUAUUAAAAUAACAUAGUUGAUUUCUAAAACAUAAAAAAAUUAUUAUCUCAUCAACGCAUAAUUAUUUUGAGAACCAUAAGGUUGAGAUUUAUCCACCCAAAAACUAUUGUGUUGUUGUUGCUGGUGUGCAAUUAAUCUUGCAGGGACAGUUGAUGAAGCAUUCUCCAAGAUCUGGCUAGCACAAGUUAUCUAUUUGACAGCAGAAUUCCCGUCCUGGGAGCUGGUGCCCAUCUUUAUAACAAGGGGGUCUAGUUACAUGGCUUACUUUGCUCAUCAUGUUUCUCCCCUUGUUGUUUAUGAUUUCACCUAAUUAAUAUAAAAUAAAGAAUAUACUUAUCAUCUCAUCAUAUCAACAAUAAAAGUCCACAGUAUCAAUACCACCAAAAAAUCGAGUUGUUAAUUACCAUAUGUGCCUCCAAGACAAGUCAAACACACCACAAGAAGAAAAGAAAGUAGCACAAGUCCUUGCACAUUGUUCCUCGUGAACUUGGUCAUCGUCACUAAGGAAUAGAGGCUAUUAAUGGGUGGUACUCUUGUAAGUGGAGUUGAUGAGUGUAUGACCGUGAAAUGCUUGCUCCAUGAAUGGUUCAUAUAUAUAUAGGAAAAGCUUCUCCGUGUCGAUGUGUGAAGUUAUAGAAAAUAUUAAUGCUUGGAGUUCUGCCUUGUGUGAAUUUCCAAUUUUAGUUUCACUUCUAAAGAUUCAUGGUUCCUUCUAGAGUUUUUUUCUCAAAUUUAUGCUUUGUCAUAGCAUGUAAGUUACUUUAAUGCCCCCUCUAGAAUUGAUCGCUCAUUGUUUUCAAGGGGUAGAAAGUACCUCUUAGAAUGGGUAGUAAAAAACUGGUGCAUGGCAAUAUUGUGUUUAAGGCAUUGAUAAUAAUUGGUAUAAUAUCAAUAAUUCGUAUAUAUAUGAUGCCUUAUCAAUAAAAUUAUUAAUUUCUGUCUUGGUAUAAGAGAACAGAAUUUAAAAUUCAACAAGACUCAUCCACUUAACAUUGGACUUGUUUUUUAAUGUAUGUAAGCAAUUGUUCUUAAGUAUAUCAACAAGUUACAGAUACAUUUUUUAAAUAUAAGAUGAUGAUUUAUUUUCAUAUACAUGAACAUUUUAUAUCAAGGUACUUGAGCAUUUUUUACAUUUUUCUAUACACAAAAUUUUCUCCAAUAUUAAGUCGAUUUUUUUUAAAUAGAUUAGUUUCCCCAAAACUUUCUUUAUUAGAAUGGUGAAAAUGUCGCACUUGCCCAGCUAGGGAAAAUUUCGUUAGGCAGAGCUGCCCAAUUCUCGGAACUCCCUAUAAGUUCCUCCUUGCCGCUACCAACCUCCCCUUCAGACAGCGCAUGCCUGGCUGGUCCGACCCAUUGACGACACGAAUGGACACCACCGAGUGGGAGAGUAGGCGUUGAGCCAAUCCACUUUAGCAACAAUUUUUUCAUUUUUGGAAAAUAUCUUUGCAAAUUGAACAAGCAUUGAUAAAUGCGAAGUUUUUUUUGAACAUAUUCUAAAAUUUAAAAUUUCUUAAAACCCCAAUUAGGUUUGGAAUUUCAUACAUUCUUCUGAAAAAAUGAACACUUUUGGAAAUACUUAACAUUAUUUGAAAACUAAGACCUUUUCUUGGAGAACCAACAAUUUUAUGAAAAACGUGUUAGUUUUAUAAUUUGUAGAAUGUUUUUCAAAAUUAUGAUUUUUAAGAACACAAACAAUUUUUGAAAUUUUGAACAAAAUUUGAGAAUAGGAACAUUUCCCGAAAACUUGAAUAUUUUCUAAAUUUCAAAUUUCCACACAUUUUAAAAAAAGGAGACUUUUUGAUAAAGAUAAUAAGAAAAAUAAAACAAUGAAAAAACAAAUAAGAAAAACUAUAACAUCCUAAUUUUCAAUUUGGAUGUUAUACAUAGAUCAGCAGAUGCAUAUCAUAUUUAUUCUUUCUUUUGGUUGAGAUCCUAGAGAUCUUAAGCAAGUCAAGGACCCAAGGAGAGAGUUGGAGGUUUCACAAAAUUCAUAUUUGAAUUUAUUUCAAAUUUGAGCGAAGGAUCAAUUUGAUUUUAUUAUUUUUCUCUCUAAUUUUUUCCAAUAAUAAAAAUACAUGAGAGAAGAUAAUAUGACUUCUUCAACCUAAGAUAAAUAUUGGAGAAAGAAUUUUAAAAUCAAAUUAUGAUUUUAUUAGAAUUUUAUUUGAAUUAGAAAAAUAUUGUAUUUUUUAAAAUUGCAUCUUAGUCCAGAAAAAUGUUUAUCUUGUCCUAAAUAUUAGGUUUGGACGGUGAAAAUUAUUUCUGGAAUUUUUAGAUUUUUCUUUAUAAUUUAUUAGGAUUUUUCUUUCGGGCGAAAUUUAUUUUUUUUAAAAAGUUAUUUCCGCCCGAAUGGGCCGAAGGCCCAGCCGAGCCGGCCCAGAAGCAGCGCCACCGCCAUCCCCGUGCGGUAGUCCGCCCCGCUGCCGCCAGCGUGCCGCCGGCCAAGUCCGAGGCGGGCACGCCUCCCGAAGCCGGCCCCUUCCCCAAGACGAGGUCGAGCCCCAUCCUUAAAUAGCGCAUCGCCCCGCCACCUCUCCUCCACACCGCCGCCGCCUCCCACUAGCAGCAGCAGCAAUAGCCCCGCACUGCCGCCGCCGCGCCGCUUUUCGCCGCCUGUGACGCCCCCGAUUCAAUCGUACACUAAUCAUACAUGCAAAUGUGUACGAUCAAGAUCAGGGACUCACGGGAAGAUAUCACAACACAACUCUAAAACUAAAAUAAGUCAUACAAGCAUCAUAAUACAAGCCAGGGGCCUCGAGUCCUCGAAUACAAGUGCUUGAUCAUAGACGACUCAGCGGAAGCAACAAUAUCUGAGUACAGACAUAAGUUAAACAAGCUUGCCUUAAGAAGGCUAGCACAAACUGGGAUACAGAUCGAAAGAGGCGCAUGCCUCCUACCUGGGAUCCUCCUAAACUACUCCUGGUCAUCGUCAGCGGCCUGCACGCAGUAGUAGGCACCUCCAGUGUAGUAGGAGUUGUCGUCGGUGGCGUAUGGCUCCUGGGAUGCAACGUCUUGUUGCGGCAUCCGAGAAGAAGAGGAAAACGGGGGAAAAGAGGGAGCAAAGCAACCAUGAGUACUCAUCCAAAGUACUCGCAAGCAAGGAGAUACACUACAUAUGCAUGGGUAUAUGUGUAAGGAGGCAAUAUCAGUGGAAUGAACUGCAGAAUGCCAGAAUAAGAGGGGGAUAGCUAGUCCUAUCGAAGACUACGCUUCUGGCAGCCUCCGCCUUGCAGCAUGUAGAAGAGAGUAGAUUGAAGUCCUCCAAGUAGCAUCGCAUAGCAUAAUCCUACCCGGCAAUCCGUCCCUCGUCACCCUAUGGGAAAGCGAUCACCGGGAUGUCUCUGGAACUUGUAUGGAUGUGUUUUAUUAAGUAUCCGGUUCUAGUUGUCAUAAGGUCAAGGUACAACUCCAAGUCGUCCUGUUACCGAAGAUCACGGCUAUUCGAAUAGAUUAACUUCCCUGCAGGGGUGCACCACAUUUCCCAACACGCUCGAUACCCUUUGGCCGGACACAAUUUCCUGGGUCAUGCCCGGCCUAGGAAGAUCAACACGUCGUAGCCCCACCUAGGCACAACAGAGAGGUCAGCACGCUAUCUAACUUCUAUGGCACAGGGGUUUGGGUCCAUCGCCCAUUGCACACGUGCACGUUGCGAGGGCGGCCGGAAGUAGACUAGCCCCCUUAAUACAAGUGUAGGCUUACGGUCCAAUCCGACGCGCGCCGAUCAGUCGCUGACGUCAAGAAGGCUUCGGCUGAUACCACGACGUCGAGUGCCCAUAACUGUUCCCGCAUAGUUGGUUAGUGCGUAUAGGCCAGUGGCCAGACUCAGAUAAAAUACCAAGAUCUCGUUACGCAUGUUAUUAUGAAGUAACCCCGAACGCCGGCCAGGGCUAGGCCCACCUCUCUCCUAGGUGGCCUCAAACUGCCCUGUCGCUCCACCACAAAGAUCCACACACAGGGCCGUCGGGAAAGUAUGUCCUUUCAGCCCCCAAUUCAUGAACCAACCGCGGGUACUCAACGAGCCGACACGACUUUAGUCACCAUCUGUAUAGCAUGUAUAUAUGUAUAGUAUAAACCCAUGAUCACCUCCCGAGUGACCACGGCUUGAUAGUAUAGCAAGGCAGACUGACAAGAAUGUAGGGCCACAGAUGAUAAACUAGCAUCCUAUACUAACUAUUUAGGAUUGCAAGUAAGGUAUCAACAGAUGUAGCAACCAUGACAGGCUAUGCAUCAGAAUAGGAUUAACGGAAAGCAGAAACAUGCUACACUACUCUAAUGCAAGCAGUAUAGAGGAGAGUAUACGAUAUCUGGUAAUCAAGGGGGGGGGGCUUGCCUGGUUGCUCUGGCAAGAAGGAGGGGUCGUCAACUCCAUAGUCGUACUGGGUGCUAGUGUAAGAAACAAUUAAUAUAGUGCAAAGUUGCAAACAUAAGCAUGAAGAUGUAAGACAUGAAAAUGAGCGGUGCUAGGUGUGCCCUAACGAGGUAGUAGGCGAUACCGGCGAAAGGGGGAAACAUCCAGGAAAGUAUCGUCGGUGUUUCGCGUUUUCGAACAGAUGAACCGGAGGUGAAAUGUUGCAUGUUUGCUAUGCUAGGGAUGCGUGGCGGACAAACGGGAUGUGUAUUUGGAUUUGUCUUGUUGUUCUAAGCAACUUUCAUAUACAAAGUUUUUCCAUCCGAGUUACGGAUUAUUUAAUAUUAAUUUUUAAAGAUUUAAAUCAAUUUAUAAAUUAUUAGUAUUAAUUAAAUUCAAAAAUGGCAUUACUGCAUCAGCAUGACGUCAGCAUGACAUCAUCAGUCAAUAGAGGUGUUGACUAGGUCAAGCUGACGUGUGGGUCCCAUCUGCCAUUGACACAUUGCCCUAACUAACAAACUAGUUAGUUUAAUUAAAUAUUUAGGUUAAUUAAGUUUAGUUAUUUUAACUAAACAUGAUAAAUUAAGUUAAUUAAUUAGUUAAUUAAUUAAUUAACCAAUUUUAUUAUUAUUAGUAUAAUUUUAUCUUAUUAUUAUUAUUUUUUAAAUGUUUUGAGGGUGGGGCCCCCUUGUCAUAGGCCCCUGGGGACCUAGUGGAGUGCGUUAACGGGCGCUGGGGCGCUGCGGGCGUGCGCCUGAGUCCACCAUGGAAGGGGACUCCUGCCAGGGGAGGGGGCGGCUGUGGCGGAGCGGCGUGGGACCGAUGGGGCGUAGGCGAUGCACGUGACGGCGCGCGCGAGCUGCAGCGGUGGAGGUGGUGGCGGGGUCGCGCGGGCGGAGCAAAGGUGCGACAGCCGGAGCGGAGUAGUGCAGCGAGCAGCACUGCUCGUGGCGUCGCGCGGGCACAGUAAGCACGGGAGGCGGGCCGACACAGGACCAGGCAUAGCAGCGGCGGCACAGGGCGCGGCCAGCGCCCGUUGCGCGCGUGCUUCGUUGUUGGUAGGCGCAGCCACGACGACGUGAGCCACGGCGGGAAGAAGGAACACGGGAGGGGGCGCAGUAGCAGCAGGCGAGCGAGGCGCACACGGGGCGAUGAUGGGCAGCGACAGCGAGCGCGGUGGGGCGGUGCGCGUGCGUGCGUGAACGACGGACGAGCGGCCGGAGCGAACAACGAGUGCGGGGAGAGGAGGAGAGGCCGAGGGCCUCACCGCGGUUGUAGGGUCUUAGGCAGCGGGGCGUGGGGAGGACGACGGGGACGACGUGCGGCGGGGCGACGAGGUCCGGCGGCAGGGUGGACGUAGGCGAUGGCGUCUGACAAGGUGGCAGCGCGGUGGCUCCGGCGACUGCGUCGGGGCGCCGUGGGCGCCCAGAUCCAGAACGGGGAGGAGGAGGUCGAGGAUGGGGCGUCAGGGCGUCGAGCGACACCAGCAAGGGGCGACGGAGUCAGGGACGAUGGGGUCGGGGCGGUUUGCCCCGAUCCAGUAACCGGGAGGGGAGUGGGGGAGCGAGCGAGUGUGGGGUGAGUGGAAUCCUGGUAUCUAGGGUUUCGGGCGAUAGGAGGAUAUGGAGAGUGGGGUGGGCCGGUCGGGCCAGGAUGGGAGUUGGGCCGGGUAACCCAGUUGGCCUGGGGCUUUCCCGCACUUUUUACUUUAUUAAUUUUUUGUUUAGUCUCCUUUUUUAUUCUUUUCCAUUUUCUAUUUUAUUUAUUUUAGAGCAUCAUAGCAUUUUCUAAAUAUGGGGUUUCUUCACUAUAAUUACCUAUGUAAUAUUUGGCACAAUCCGGACAUUUUAGUUUCAUUGUUCGAAAACCUUUUUGUUUGCCUAAUUUUUAAUUUGAAUUUGAAUCGGUUUCGAACUAACACGAGAUUAGUAACAGUAAUCAAGGUGACGUGGCAUCAUUAGCGGAGGUUCAAUGUAGCUUAAGUAUCCGAGUGUCAUAAUUCUCCUCCACUACAAGAAAUCUCGUCGCGAGAUUUAAGCGGUGUAUUAAGGGGGAAGGUGCUGGUAGCGAAAAAGCUAACGAGUCUUCUCGGUCUUGGCUGCCCUUUCGAAGAGGUUGAUCCCUUUCGUUGAUGUCUUCAUUUCUCUGCUUCAAGUCACCAUGACCAAGUCGUCAUCCUUUCUUCGGGAUCUCCAUCAUCCUACGAACGCGACCAAGGGGAAAACUCCGGAAGAACGCAUCUCCGCAAAGUUGGGCAUCUGGCGGUGAACUCAAUGGGAAAUACACAAGGUACCACACGAGUUGUAUUUCAGUGAAUUCGUUGAGUGCAAUAUACGAUGGUACCAAAGUUUCAAACGGGUAGGCAAUCAUUCGAUGACUAGACAGAAGCUGGAAUGGGGGUUUGAACAAUGAGAAUAACAUGGCAUUUGAUUCCAGGAGGAAUAAUGGUAUAGCAUUUAGCUCGUGAAUCACAUACGAAGCUAGGUGCAAAGGAUACAUUAGAAUCCGGGUUGUAAAGAAGAGUCAGGUUUCGAUCCAGUGGACCUGUGGGUUAUGGGCCCACCAUGUGGGUUGACAGUAGGAAGGGUGGUGACAUCUUGCACAGCCGCAACAGGGAGGCAUGUCAGGGCAACAAUUGUCAGUAACAAGGACAGGAAACAAAGAGAGCAAUUUUCCUGCUUGUUGAACAGGUGAACCAAUUGGCAAAGUUAUCACCCAUUGGUGGUUACCGGAAUGUAAUAAACAAUAGUAACAUGGUCUUACAAACAGAGUGGUACAACAAGUUGCCUACCUAAGCAGGGAAUUAUCUCUGCUCAGUUAAGUCAGAUUUAGGAAAGGUUAAACAAAAGAAUGGAAAGGAAAACGCGAUUAUCAGAUUAAACGGAACAAUGGAAAGGAAAAUUGUGAUUACACACAAUUAUUUGGAGUAUAUCCUUCCCAUGUACAAGCAGAACAUGGAAUACAAGAUAGGAGAGCAAGUACCCAACCAUUCAGAUAAGGGGCAAGGAUUAAUCAAGAUGUUACCCAUACAACAUCGUUUGGAUAACUCACCAAGAAACAUUUAGCAUCGCGCCUCCAAUGUUCUUGUUGAUGAGCGGGGUAUCAUAUGAAGGAAAUAUGCCCUAGAGGCAAUAAUAAAGUUAUUAUUUAUUUCCUUAUUUCAUGAUAAAUGUUUAUUAUUCAUGCUAGAAUUGUAUUAACCGGAAACAUAAUACAUGUGUGAAUACAUAGACAAACAGAGUGUCACUAGUAUGCCUCUACUUGACUAGCUCGUUAAUUAAAGAUGGUUAUGUUUCCUAACCAUAGACAUGAGUUGUCAUUUGAUUAACGGGAUCACAUCAUUUGGAGAAUGAUGUGAUUGACUUGACCCAUUCCGUUAGCUUAGCACUUGAUCGUUUAGUAUGUUGCUAUUGCUUUCUUCAUGACUUAUACAUGUUCCUGUAACUAUGAGAUUAUGCAACUCCCGUUUACCGGAGGAACACUUUGGGUACUACCAAACGUCACAACGUAACUGGAUGAUUAUAAAGGAGUACUAUAGGUGUCUCCGAAGGUACAUUUUGAGUUGGCGUAUUUCUAUUUGUCACUCCGAUUGUCGGAGAGGUAUCUCUGGGCCCUCUCGGUAAUGCACAUCACUAUAAGCCUUGCAAGCAAUGUGACCAAUAAGUUGGUUACGGGAUGAUGUAUUACGUAACGAGUAAAGAGACUUGCCAGUAACGAGAUUGAACUAGGUAUUGGAUACCGGCGAUCAAAUCUCGGGCAAGUAACAUACCGAUGACAAAGGGAACAACAUAUGUUGUUAUGCGGUUUGACCGAUAAAGAUCUCUGUAGAAUAUGUAGGAACCAAUAUGGGCAUCCAGGUUCCGCUAUUGGUUAUUGACCGAGAAUAGUUCUAGGUCAUGUCUACAUAGUUCUCGAACCCGUAGGGUCCGCACGCUUAACGUUACGAUGACAGUUUUAUUAUGAGUUUAUAAGUUUUGAUGUACCGAUGUUUGUUCGGAGUCCCGUAUUUGAUCACGGACAUGACGAGGAGUCUCGAAAUGGUCGAGACAUAAAGAUUGAUAUAUUGGACGACUAUAUUCGGACACCGGAAGUGUUUCGGACGUUGUCGGAGAAAAACGGAGUGCCGGAGGGUUACUGGAACCCCCCGAGGAGAGAUAAUGGGCCACAUGGGCCUUGGUGGAAAGAGAGAGGGGCGGCCAGGGUGGGCCGCGCGCCCCUCUCCCUCUGGUCCGAAUUGGACUAGGAGGGGGUGGGGGCGGCGCCCCCCUCUUUCCUUCCCCCCUCUUCCCCUUCCUUCCCCCUCCUUGUAGGAGUAGGAAAAGGGGAGUCCUACUCCUACUAGGAGGAGGACUCCUCCUCCUUGGCGCGCCCACAAGGGCCGGCCGGCCUCCCCCCUCCCUCCUUUAUAUACAGGGGCAGGGGGCACCCCAGGACACACAAGUUGAUCUACGGAUCGUUCCUUAGCCGUGUGCGGUGCCCCCCUCCCCCAUAUUCCACCUCGGUCAUAUUGUCGCGGAGUUUAGGCGAAGCCCUGCGCCGGUAGAACAUCAUCAUCGUCACCAUGCCGUCGUGCUGACGGAACUCAUCCUCGAAGCUUUGCUGGAUCGGAGCCCGGGGAUCGUCAUCGAGCUGAAUGUGUGCUGAACUCAGAGGUGCCGUACGUUCGGUGCUUGGAUCGGUCGGAUCGUGAAGACGUACGACUACAUCAACCGCGUUGUCAUAACGCUUCCGCUUACGGUCUACGAGGGUACGUGGACAACACUCUCCCCUCUCGUUGCUAUGUCAUCACCAUGAUCUUGCAUGUACGUAGAAUUUUUAUGAAAUUACUACGUUCCCCAACAGUGGCAUCCGAGCCUAGGUUUUAUGCGUAGAUGUCGUAUGCACGAGUAGAACACAAGUGAGUUGUGGGCGAUACAAGUCAUACUGCUUACCAGCAUGUCAUACUUUGGUUCGAUGGUAUUGUGAGAUGAAGCAUCCCGGACCGACAUUACGCGUACGCUUACGCGAGACUGGUUUCACCGUUACGAGCACUCGUGCUUAAAGGUGGCUGGCUGGUGUCUGUCUCUCUCACUUUAGUUGAACCAAGUGUGGCUACCCCCGGUCCUUGAGAAGGUUAAAACAACACCAACUUGACGAACUAUCGUUGUGGUUUUGAUGCGUAGGUAAGAACGGUUCUUGCUCAGCCCGUAGCAGCCACGUAAAACUUGCAACAACAAAGUAGAGGACGUCUAACUUGUUUUUGCAGGGCAUGUUGUGAUGUGAUAUGGUCAAGACGUGAUGAGAUAUAAGUUGUUGUAUGAGAUGAUCAUGUUGAAGUUAUCGGCAACUGGCAGAAGCUCUAUGGUUGUCUCUUUGUUGCAUAAGAUGCAAGUGCCAAAUAAUUGCUUUACUUUAUCGCUAUGCGAUAGCAAUAGUUGCAAGAGCAAUAGUUGGCGAGACGACCAUGUGACGACACAUUGAUAUAGAUCAAGAUGAUGAAGAUCAUGGUGUCGUGCCGGUGACGAUAGAGAUCAUGACAGUACUUUGGAGAUGGAGAUCGAAGGCGCAAGAUGAUCAUGGCCAUAUCAUGUCACAUAUUUUGAUUGCAUAUGAUGUUUAUCUGUUAUACAUCUUAUUCUGUUUUGUUUGACGGUAGCAUUAUAAGAUGAUCUCUCACUAAUUAUCAAGAAGUGUUCUCCCUGAGUAUGCACCGUUGCCAAAGUUCGUCGUGCCCAGACACCACGUGAUGAUCGGGUGUGAUAAGCUCUACUUCCAUCUACAACGGGUGCAAGCCAGUUUUGCACACGCGGAAUACUCAGGUUAAACUUGACGAGCCUAGCAUAUGCAGAUAUGGCCUCGGAACAUGGAGGCCGAAAGGUCGAGCGUGAAUCAUAUAGUAGAUAUGAUCAACAUAAUGAUGUUCACCAUUGAAAGCUACUCCAUUUCACGUGAUGAUCGGUUAUGGUUUAGUUGAUUUGGAUCACGUGAUCACUUAGAGGAUUAGAGGGAUGUCUUUCUAAGUGGGAGUUCUUAAGUAAUAUGAUUAAUUGAACUUAAAUUUAUCAUGAACUUAGUCCUGGUAGAAUUUUGCAAAUUAUGUUGUAGAUCAAUAGCUUGCGUUGUUACUCUCAUAUGUUUAUUUUGAUAUGUUCCUAGAGAAAAUUGUGUUGAAAAAUGUUAGUGGCAAUGAUGCGGAUUGGAUCCGUGAUCUGAGGUUUAUCCUCAUUGCUGCGCAGAAGAAUUAUGUCCUUGAUGCACCGCUAGGUGAAAAACCUAUUGCAGGAGCAGAUGCAGACGUUAUCAACGUUUGGCUAGCUCAAUAUGAUGACUACUUGAUAGUUUAGUGCACCAUGCUUAACGGCUUAGAAUCGGGACUUCAAAGACGUUUUGAACGUCAUGGACCAUAUGAGAUGUUCCAGGAGUUGAAGUUAAUAUUUCAAGCAAAUACCCGAGUUGAGAGAUAUGAAGUCCCCAACAAGUUCUAUAGCUAAAAGAUGGAGGAGAAUCGCUCAACUAGUGAGCAUGUGCUUAGAUUGUUUAGGUACUACAAUCGCUUGAAUCAAGUGGGAGUUAAUCCUCCAGAUAAGAUAGUGAUUGACAGAAUUCUCUAGUCACCACACCAAGUUAGUAGAACUUUGUGAUGAACUAUAGUAUGCAAGGGAUGACGAAAACGAUUCCCGAGCUCUUCGUGAUGUUGAAAUCGACGAAGGUAUAAAUCAAGAAAGAGCAUCAAGUGUUGAUGAUUGACAAGACCAGUAGUUUCAAGAAAAGGGCAAAGGGAUAGAAAGGGAACUUCAAGUAGAAUGACAAGCAAGUUGUCACUCCCGCGAAGAAGCCCACAGCUGGACCAAAGCCUGAAACUGAGUGCUUACACUGCAAAGGAAAUGGUCACUGGAAGCGGAAAUGCCCUGAAUAUUUGGUGGAUAAGAAGGAUGGCGAAGUGAACAAGAGUAUAUUUGAUAUACAAGUUAUUGAUGUGUGCCUUACUAGUGUUUAUAGUAGCCCCUGAGUAUUUGAUACUUGUUCAGUUGCUAAGAUUAGUAACUCGAAACAGGAGUUAUAUAAACAGAGACUAGUUGAAAGGGAAGUGACGAUGAGUGUUGGAAGUGGUUCCAAGAUUGAUAUGAUCAUCAUCGCACACUCCCUAUACUUUCGGGAUUAGUGUUAAACCUAAAUAAAUGUUAUUUGGCGUUUGCAUUGAGCAUGAAUAUGAUUUGAUCAUGUUUAUUGCGAUACGGUUAUUCAUUUGAAGUUAAAGAAUAAUUGUUAUUCUGUUUACAUGAAUAAGACCUUCGAUGGUUAUACGCCCAAUGGAAAUAGUUUGUUGGAUCUCGAUCGUAGUGAGACACAUAUUCAGAACAUUGAUGCCAAAAGAUGCAAAGUUAAUAAUGAUAGUGCAACUUAUUUGUGGCACUGCCGUUUAGGUCAUAUUGGUGUAAAGCGCAUGAAGAAACUCCAUAAAAGAUGGAUUUUCGGAAUCACUUGGUUAUGAAUCAUUUGAUGCUUGCGAACCGUGCCUUUUGGGCAAGAUGACUAAAACUCCGUUCUCCGGAACAAUGGAACAAGCUACUGACUUAUUGGAAAUAAUACAUACCGAUGUAUGCGAUCCAAUGAGUGUUGAUGCUCGCGGCAAAUAUCAUUAUUUUCUGACCUUCACAGAUGAUUUCAGCAGAUAUGGGUAUAUCUACUCAAUGAAACAUAAGUCUGAAACGUUUGAAAAGUUCAAAGAAUUUCAGAGUGAAGUUGAAAAUCAUCGUAACAAGAAAAUAAAAUUUCUACGAUCUGAUCAUGGAGGAGAAUAUUUGAGUUACGAGUUUGGUCUACAUUUGAAACAAUGCGGAAUAGUUUCACAACUCACGCCACCUGGAACACCACAACGUUAUGGUGUGUCCGAAUGUGGUAACCGCACUUUAUUGGAUAUGGUGCGAUCUAUGAUGUCUCUUACUGAUUUACCAUUAUCGUUUUGGGGUUAUGCAUUAGAGACAACUGCAUUCACGUUAAAAGGGCACCAUCUAAAACCGUUGAGACGACACCGUAUGAACUAUGGUUUAGCAGUAAACCUAAGCUGUCGUUUCUUAAAGUUUGGAGUUGCGAUGCUUAUAUGAAAAAGGUUUUCAACCUGAUAAGCUCGAACCCAAAUCGGAGGAAUGCGUCUUCAUAGAAUACCCAAAGGAAACUGUUGGGUACUCCUUCUAUCAUAGAUCCAAAGGCAAAACAUUCGUUGCUAAGAAUGGAUCCUUUCUAGAGAAGGAGUUUCUCUCGAAAGAAGUGAGUGGGAGGAAAGUAGAACUUGAUGAGGUAACUGUACCUGCUCCCUUAUUUGAAAGUAGUUCAUCACAGAAAUUUGUUCCUGUGACUACUACACCAAUUAGUGAGGAAGUUAAUGAUGAUGAUCAUGAAACUUCAGAUUAAGUUACAACAGAACCUCGUAGGUCUUCCAGAGUAAGAUCCGCACCAGAGUGGUACGGUAAUCCUGUUCUGGAAGUUAUGUUACUAGACCAUGACGAACCUACGAACUAUGAAGAAGCGAUGGUGAGCCCAGAUUCCGCAAAAUGGCUUGAGGCCAUGAGAUCUGAGAUAAGAUCCAUGUAUGAAAACAAAGUAUGGACUUUGAUUGACUUGCCCAAUGACCGGCGAGACAUUGAGAUUAAAUGGAUCUUCAAGAGGAAGACGGACGCUGAUAGUGUUACUAUCUACAAAGAUAGAAUUGUCGCAAAAGGUUUUCGACAAGUUCAAGGUGUUGACUAUGAUGAGAGUUUUUCACUCUUAUCUAUGCUUAAGUCUGUCUGAAUCAUGUUAGCAAUUGCCGCAUUUUAUGAAAUCUGGCAAAUGGAUAAACAAAACUGCAUUCCUUAAUGGUUUUCUUAAAGAAGAGUUGUAUAUGAUGCAACCAGAAGGUUUUGUCAAUCCUAAAGGUGCUAACUAAUUGUGCAAGCUCCAGCGAUCCAUCUAUGGACUGGUGCAAGUAUCUCGGAGUUGGAAUAUACGCUUUGAUGAGUUGAUCAAAGCAUAUGGUUUUAUACAGACUUUUGAAGAAGCCUGUAUUUACAAGAAAGUGAGUGGGAGCUCUGUAGCAUUUCUAAUAUUAUAUGUGGAUGACAUAUUGUUAACUGGAAAUGAUAUGGAAAUUCUGGAUAGCAUGAAAGGAUACUUGAAUAAGAGUUUUUCAAAGCAAGACCUUGGUGAAGCUGCUUACACAUUGAGCAUCAAAAUCUAUAUAGAUAGAUCAAGACGCUUGAUAAGAUUUUUCAAUGAGUACAUACCUUGAUAAAUUUUUGAAAUAGUUCAAUAUGGAACAGUCAAAGAAGGAGUUCUUGCCUGUGAUGCAAAGGUAUGAAGUUGAGUAAGACUAAAAACCCGACCAUGGCAGAAAAUAGAAAAGAAUGAACAGUCAUUCCCUAUGCCUCAGUCAUAGGUUCUAUAAAGUAUUCUAUGCUAUGUACUAGACCUAUUGUAUACCUUGCUCUGAGUUUGGCAAAGGAAUACAAUUUUGAUCUAAAAGUAGAUCACUAGAACAGCGGUCAAGAAUAUCCUUAGUGAGGACUAAGGAGAUGUUUCUCGAUUAUGGAGGUGAUAAAAGAGCCAGUCGUAAAAAGUUACAACGAUGCAAGCUUUUACACCAAUCCAGAUGACUUUAAGUCUCAAUCUGGAUACAUAUUGCAAGUGGGAGCAAUUAGCUAGAGUAGCUCCGUGCAGAGCAUUGUGGACAUAGAAUAUUUGCAAAAUACAUACGGCUCUGAAUGUGACAGACUCGUUGACUAAACUUCUCUCAUGAGCAAAACAUGAUCAUACCUUAGUACUCUUUGGGUGUUAAUCACAUAGCCAUGUGAACUAGAUUAUUGACUCUAGUAAACCCUUUGGGCGUUGAUCACAUGACGAUGUGAACUAUGGGUAUUAAUCACAUAUAGAUGUGAAUAUUGGUGUUAAAUCACAUGGUGAUGUGAACUAGAUUAUUGACUCUAGUGCAAGUGGGAGACUGAAGGAAAUAUGCCCUAGAGGCAAUAAUAAAGUUAUUAUGUAUUUCCUUAUUUCAUGAUAAAUGUUUAUUAUUCAUGCUAGAAUUGUAUUAACCGGAAACAUAAUACAUGUGUGAAUACAUAGACAAACAGAGUGUCACUAGUAUGCCUCUACUUGACUAGCUCGUUAAUUAAAGAUGGUUAUGUUUCCUAACCAUAGACAUGACUUGACCCAUUCCGUUAGCUUAGCACUUGAUCGUUUAGUAUGUUGCUAUUGCUUUCUUCAUGACUUAUACAUGUUCCUGUAACUAUGAGAUUAUGCAACUCCCGUUUACCGGAGGAACACUUUGGGUACUACCAAACGUCACAACAUAACUGGGUGAUUAUAAAGGAGUACUACAGGUGUCUCCGAAGGUACAUGUUGAGUUGGCGUAUUUUGAGAUUAGGUUUUGUCACUCCGAUUGUCGGAGAGGUAUCUCUGGGCCCUCUCGGUAAUGCACAUCACUAUAAUCCUUGCAAGCAAUGUGACCAAUAAGUUGGUUACGGGAUGAUGCAUUACGUAACGAGUAAAGAGACUUGCCGGUAACGAGAUUGAACUAGGUAUUGGAUACCGAUGAUCAAAUCUCGGGCAAGUAACAUACCGAUGACAAAGGGAACAACGUAUGUUGUUAUGCGGUUUGACCAAUAAAGAUCUUCGUAGAAUAUGUAGGAACCAAUAUGGGCAUCCAGGUUCCGCUAUUGGUUAUUGACCGAGAAUAGUUCUAGGUCAUGUCUACAUAGUUCUCGAACCCGUAGGGUCCGCAUGCUUAACGUUACGAUGACAGUUUUAUUAUGAGUUUAUAAGUUUUGAUGUACCGAAGUUUUUUCAGAGUCCCGGAUGUGAUCACGGACAUGACGAGGAGUCUCGAAAUGGUCGAGACAUAAAGAUUGAUAUAUUGGACGACUAUAUUCGGACACCGGAAGUGUUCCGAACGUUGUCGGAGAAAACCGGAGUGCUGGAGGGUUACCGGAACCCCCCGGGGAGAGAUAAUGGGCCACAUGGGCCUUGGUGGAAAGAGAGAGGGGCGGCCAGGGUGGGCCACGCGCCCCCUCUCCCUCUGGUCCGAAUUGGACUAGGAGGGGGGGCGGGGCGGCGCCCCCCUCUUUCCUUCCCCCUUCUUCCCCUUCCUUCCCCCUCCUAGUAGGAGUAGGAAAAGGGGAGUCCUACUCCUACUAGGAGGAGGACUCCUCCUCCUUGGCGCGCCCACAAGGGCCGGCCGGCCUCCCCCUCCCUCCUUUAUAUACGGGGGCAGGGGGGCACCCCAGGACACACAAGUUGAUCUACGGAUCGUUCCUUAGCCGUGUGCGGUGCCCCCCUCCACCAUAUUCUACCUCGGUCAUAUCGUCGCGGAGUUUAGGCGAAGCCCUGCGCCGGAAGAACAUCAUCAUCGUCACCACGCCGUCGUGCUGACGGAACUCAUCCCCGAAGCUUUGCUGGAUCGGAGCCCGGGGAUCGUCAUCGAGCUGAACGUGUGCUAAACUCGGAGGUCCCGUACGUUCGGUGCUUGGAUCGGUUGGAUCGUGAAGAGUACGACUACAUCAACUGCGUUGUCAUAACGCUUCCGCAUACGGUCUACGAGGGUACGUGGACAACACUCUCCCCUCUUGUUGCUAUGUCAUCACCAUGAUCUUGCGUGUACGUAGAAUUUUUUUGAAAUUACUACGUUCCCCAACAUCAUAGUCAUGCUUCGAGGUAGCAAUGAUAUGGGGUUCCAAUCAAGGCCAGACUUUGGAUACACAAAUGAUCCAUCAGGAGCAACUUAUAAAAUAAGUCCUACAAUUUCCUCCAGGAAGAAUGGUUAUCCUUGCAAAAGAAAUUAUAAUCAUAGGUCCUCCAGCCAGGGGUGCUAGGCAUGACAUCAUAUUACCUGGUCAUCAAAGGACCAACAUCAUAACUCCUGGAAAGUUGUCCUAACCAUAAUAUCUGACCGAGAUUCUGAUCCGAUUGGUGUCAUGAUACCUCAGACUCAGGAUGUCCGAGAAGAAAAGGUGUGACACAAAUUGAUGAAAUGACAUUGCAAGAUUCUCAGGAAAUGAACUAUGGGAGUGGGUUCCUGAAACAAUAGUUCAUCAUUAAACCAAGGAGGGGAUGAGGAGGUUGCUGAUGGGCUCAGCGACAAUUCAACGAGAAUUCCAAACGGAUGGAUUUCCACACUUAUGUGAACAAGAAGAUGACACUUGUUAAUUCAAAUGAUAUAAUGUUGUAUGCUCGAGGAAAACAUACACCAUCAAGCAUUAGUUGUAAGGUGUGCCUGAAAUAUGACCUUAGGCAGCAGGGUCAAUGUUAGAGUGAUGAUUCAAUGACCAACAGUCUAAGAUUGAACUGUUGAUCAUUAACUUCAAAGCAAUAGGGUUGCUAGAAGUACAGAACUCAAGCAGCAUCGUUGGCAUAUCGGUAUCCUGGUUAAAAACAACACGGGGACCAAGGAAGAAUGGUGAUGGUGGGAAGUAUUAUCAUACCGAGAAUUUCUAAGAGGUGGAGCAAUCCACACAACAUCUUGGCAGAAAAGACAGUAAUACUUCAAGGCAGAACACAACACUAGCUGGACAGCAAGUUGUAUUCAUAAUAUGGACAAGUUCGCGAUGAAAGGAAGUCAAGGGUUUUGUUGAUGAUAAUAAAAAUCAUCAAGGGCAAGGAGGGAAUUUCUCAUCAUGAACACAGUUGGCAUCUCAGAAGAAGUCAAAGUGUUGAAGGUGAUCCAACACAUUUGCCGGGAGAUUUCAAGAGGAUGAAAUCAAACAACAACGGCAACAAGCGAGGGAAUGACGAAGUGGCAAGUUAUAGAAUCAAUAUAUAGGAUGCAAGCUCGGGACCAAAUUGCCUUUCAAGACAAGAAACAUGAUGUUGAAAGCUCGACGUAAGUCGUGCUCACAGACUGAAGAUUCGUGCACCAGAGAAGGAUGAGGUAGCACCGUCAAAGGUAGCAAGACCUGGAUGCAACCGAUAGUCUAGGAAUGACCAGAUUUAGUUCAGAAUUUCCUAGUAAAAAUACUAGGGGUAUUAGAUUUGUAGUGCGGAAUAAUUUCACUAGUCGGUGUCCUCGGUUGACAACAACGCAGAACCCGUAGAGUGAUUACGGCAAGGAAAUACAUUACUUCAACAAAGUUAGUAAGAUGUGGUGCAAUGGCAAGACAUCUCCGAGAUACCAGGGGUAAUACUCGAAGGUAGAACAAGAUAGAAGUAGAACCGGGUCAUUGACCUAUGACAUUAGAUACUUCAACCUUGCCAAAAAUAGACGAGGCACUGGAAUGAAUUCCCAUCAGAUAUAUCAGAUCAGGACAACAUGGUCGGAACCAUAACUGUAAGGAAUCAAUUUCAAGAAUACCGAAAGAAUCAUACAGCUAGAUAAUCAUUUUGCAAGAAGCUUCUCAGACGGUCUACAUCAUUUUCAUGGGCAUGAACACAAAGUUCAAGGUCGACUCCCACUUCUUCAAUGCAUAUCAUCUCAUUCACCUUUGGUUUGAUAUAACUGUAGUGUUGAAAGUUUAUCUGGUAGAAAACCGGAAGAGUAUGACUUGUGAAAACUUUCGGGUUCUCACGAAUUAGGGGAAGGCAUAGGUUCAACCCACCGGGAAACUUAGUAACCUAUACCACAAGUUUCAAAAGUAAAUACACAAGCUCGAAAGAAGAGCAUGGUUGGCCAAGUAGAGGAUACAAUUUACCAAAGGCACUAUGUAUCAGGGAAAGAACUCACAUGGUGAUUGAAUAUGAAGGACACGGUCGGAUAACAAUCCAACAAUGGAUAGGGCGAUCCACAACGGAGCUGAUGUGAGUAUCGGUACUCACUCGGAGGAAGAAAGAAUGCAGAGGAAUCAGAUUCAAGAAUCACCUGAUCAGUCUGAUGCUUAAAUAGAAAGAAAUUAUGGUUUCCAAAAUGAAGGAUCAGAAGCAGAUGCUCUGAUCAAGGAUGGAUAAGUUGAAAACACCUAGUUGGACAAUCAAUAAAGGUUUGAAUUGCCGAGAACCAACUCAUGUCCGGAAUGACGUCUGAGCCGGAAAGAGAAUCUUAAAAAGGAUAACAUGAUGACUGCGUGUGUACGCACACAUUGAAUCAAUAGGCUCAAAAUGACUAAGACAAGGGAUGUUAACGAGGACUACUAGUCAUAUGGAAUUACCCAUAAUGCAAGCAUGCAAGCGUUUCAAGAGUAACAGGCUGCAGAGGAUUUUUGAAAGAUCGAAAAGUAUUCCGAAGAAUCAUGUGAGACACAUGAACAAUUGAGAAGAAUGGAUCCUUGAUAAAUGUGAGGAAAAACCCGUAAGGGUUUUCACGCCAAAUAAAACUGCAACACAGUAAACUCAAAGGAUUUUCGGGACAACGACGAAUAUUUCGAGGCAUCAUGUAACAACAAGAGCAGCGAGGAAUGAUCAAGAGAAUGACAAGUGCAUACAGAUAUCCAUAGGUAUAUAUUGGUGACAGUGGAUUGCAAAGGUGAUGAGCACAAGGGUCUCGGGAAAAUAUCAAGGGAUAUCUUCAGAAUCUUCUGAUGCAAUAAGCAAUCAUCUGGAGUGAGGGAUCUCUGGGAGGAAGUAGUUACGAGAACCUAGAGUGGGCGUUAGUAAAAUCAUUUAACCAGAAUAGAGGAGAGAUCAGUGUCCCAGAGUAAAGGUCGAGGAGUAAAAGAUCCUAAUACCACCCAAUGGCGACGUGGGCCCGCAAGCCACACAUCCAAGUUAGUAAAACAGUUUUCGGCUUCUAGACUCAACUUCGGCCAAGGAGUUGGAAAGGGGAUUCCUAUAGGCAGUCGGCUCUGAUACCAACUUGUGACGCCGCCGAUUCAAUCAUACACUAAUCAUACACGCAAAUGUGUACGAUCAAGAUCAGGGAAUCACAGGAAGAUAUCACAACACAACUCUAAAAAUAAAAUAAGUCAUACAAGCAUCAUAAUACAAGCCAGGGGCCUCGAGGGCUCGAAUACAAGUGCUUGAUCAUAGACGAGUCAGCGGAAGCAACAAUAUCUGAGUACAGACAUAAGUUAAACAAGCUUGCCUUAAGAAGGCUAGCACAAACUGGGAUACGAAUCGGAAGUGGCGCAUGCCUCCUGUCUGGGAUCCUCCUAAACUACUCCUUGUCGUCGUCAGCGGCCUACACGCAAUAGUAGGCACCUCCAGUGUUGUAGGAGUCAUCGCCGUUGAUGUCGUCUGGCUCCUGGGAUCCAACGUCUGGUUGCAGCAUCCGAGAAGACGAGGAAAACGGGGGAAAAGAGGUAGCAAAGGAACCGUGAGUACUCAUCCAAAGUACUCGCAAGAAAGGAGCUACACUACAUAUGCAUGGGUAUAUGUGUAAGGAGGCAAUAUCAGUGAACUGAACUGCAGAAUGCCAGAAUAAGAUGGGGAUAGCUAGUCCUAUCAAAGACUACGCUUCUGGCAACCUCCGUCUUGCAUCAUCUAGAAGAGAGUAGAUUGAAGUAUCAUCGCAUAGCCUAAUCCUACCCGGCGAUCCUCCCCUUGUUGCCCUGUGGGAAAGCAAUCACCGGGAUGUCUGUGGAACUUGUGUGAGUGUGUUUUAUUGAGUAUCCGGUUCUAGUUGUCAUAAGGUCAAGGUACAACUCCCAGUCGUCCUGUUGAAGAUCACGUCUAUUCAAAUAGAUUAACUUCCCUACAGGGGUGCACCACAUUUCCCAACACACUCGAUCCCCUUUGGCCGGACACACUUUCCUGGGUCAUGCCCGGCCUCGGAAGAUCAACACGUCGCAGCCCCACCUAGGCACAACAAAGAGGUCAGCACGCUUGUCUAACUCCUAUGGCGCAGGGAUCAGCACGCCCUGCCUGUUCCGUUCACCACCCCUAGUGACCAGUGUUUAGCCCCAACGUCUGUCCCACUAGGUCCCAGCCUCAUUUCAUUGGUUAAUCUUAUGUAUAAUAAUGUGAUAAGAUAGUGAGGUGUAUGCAUAUCUAUAACCGUAUAUCAUACUUCUGAUUGUAGUGUAAGACAGUGAGGUGUAAUCUUGCCGUUUUAGUUCAGAGAGAUAAUUCGAUCACUUUAAGUUGUUGCAUGCUGUCAUAUGCACUAUGCUUAUGUUAUUUGCUACUAAACCAAUAGUGGAAUAUAGUUUUAUGUUUCAUGUAUUGUUUGGUGGCUUCUCAAUUUGUGCAUGAAAACAAACAUUGCUUCCGAGUGACUCUUCAUUAGGCUCUUGUUUUAUUCAUGGGUGAUGGAACAAUGAAUGCAAAGAUAAGCUUCCUUUGAUUUGGUUGCUCGGUUGACAAGAAUAUGCAUUCCUUUGUAUACCACCUUACCUCUCCUGUGAUGCUUUCUACAUUGUAGAUUCCCUGUAUUAGAUAACGGCCAGUGCUGGGGUUGAUGCUUUAGUACAGAAAUCAUUGCAUUCCAUAUAUCUCACAGUUUGUUUGUAUCAGAUUCAUGUGAGGCGGUCCCUAUGAAGUACAUCGACGAGACAGAUGGAUUACGCCAUCUAUUAGUAUGCUUAGUGAUUCUGUAGUUGGCUCUUUUUAUUAUGUUCAUGUUCUUAUUAACUCCUCUUAUGUGUUCUCGCAAUUGGUAUCGAACUUCAUGUCGAAUGGCUAUCUUUUGUGGUCGUAUGAACGGGUCGAGCUUGAUCCUGCCUUAUAAAUUGAUGUUGUCUUGUGCUCCAUUACGUUUUACUUUUAUCACAAUUGAAUGUUUCUUUAUUUUAUUAUUAUCAUAUAUAAGUGCAAAUGCUAUAUCUGGGUUCCUACUGACAUGGUGUUACAUGCUUUGGCAAAGUGCUUGGACCGGCACCCUCGCGCCAGGGCGCGAUCCUGAUCUAGUGUAUCUUGUAGCAAGCCAUGAGCCGAGGGUUGCUACAUGAUAAAUUGCUGACUAGGCAGUGUGUUUUCUUCAUUUUGGGCAGAUCACAAGUGUUUGACACCUCUCUCUACAUUGGGUAUCCUUUUCCACUUGAAUUUUAAAAUGCGCAGAAUGUGCUUUCCUUGUUGUUGCCUCGUCAUUCCAACAUGGAAUCAAAGCAAACCUAAUAUUACUACCUUUAAAAAUUGUCUCGCUGUCUAUGUCCAUAGCAUGCCCAUUGGACUGCACGGCAGAAGUGAAGGUGUGUGCCUAGCUGGCGGAGCAGACGUACUCGUGUGACCUCUGAUCUAAGAAUGACAUGUACUCUGUUGUGAGCCCAUGGUGCAUGUGGGUUGGAACGCUGCUUAGGAAAUCUAGACUUAUUUUGCAGGCAAGCCAAGAUGAGAUCUGUAGCCCAUGUGAUUUCCAUCAAAAUGACGGCCAGUUCAACUCUGGUUCGAAUCCUAAUAAAAAAAUAGACCAACAGUCCUAGAUGGAUAUGUCCAUCGCUAAAAACGCAGUUGUUGAAAGAGUCAAUAUGACUUUUAGCUAGAGGACGCCAACACCCCUCACUUCUUCUACAUGCACUAAACAAACCCUAGCUUAUCCAACUCAAUUUGCUUUAAGGUUUAUGUGUGAAAGAAGUAGUAUUAAAAUAGAACACCACACUCUUCAACCUGAGAAAUCAAUAGUCAAUUUACCUAUGGAUAUUAAAUCUAUAUACAUCGUACUUGAUGUGUGAAGUUGAUAAUACUUAUUAAACAUAUUUUAAAUUACAAUAUUUGGUGCUUCACAGCCUGUUAUGAAAUUAUUGUUCACCCAUCUAGUGCAAUAAAAAGUACGUGCGAGAGAGAGAUAGAGAGAGAGAGAUUAAAGUACAUUUUGUCCUGAUGUCCACCAUAGUUCCACGAUCAGUACACCUAGGAGGAGACAAUCAAAAUAUGGACAGAACAUAAAUAUUUAAUAUGUAAAUGGUAGGUAACAAAUCCAACCACAAAAUUGUGCAAGCAAGCCACUAGCUAUUUAUUGAAUAUUAAAAUAACAUAGUUGAUUUCUAAAACAUACAAAAAUUAUUAUCUCAUCAACGCAUAAUUAUUUUGAGAACCAUAAGGUUGAGAUUUAUCCACCCAAAAACUAUUGUGUUGUUGUUGCUGGUGUGCAAUUAAUCUUGCAGGGACAGUUGAUGAAGCAUUCUCCAAGAUCUGGCCAGCACAAGUUAUCUAUUUGACAGCAGAAUUCCCGUCCUGGGAGCUGGUGCCCAUCUUUAUAACAAGGGGGUCUAGUUACAUGG
RNAcentral lists this long non-coding RNA (36031 nucleotides) under Triticum aestivum (bread wheat). RNAcentral describes it as "long non-coding RNA (TAES_LNC006571)". Lineage: Eukaryota; Viridiplantae; Streptophyta; Magnoliopsida; Poales; Poaceae. The record is from RNAcentral.